This 47-nucleotide ribosomal RNA is filed under the name Lisianthius saponarioides. RNAcentral's name for it is "partial 5.8S ribosomal RNA". Lineage: Eukaryota; Viridiplantae; Streptophyta; Magnoliopsida; Gentianales; Gentianaceae. The record is from RNAcentral.
AAAACGGAAACGACCCCGGCAACCGAUAUCUCGGCUCUCGCAUCGAU